Molecule: unclassified non-coding RNA, 281 nt
Organism: Erinaceus europaeus (western European hedgehog)
Lineage: Eukaryota; Metazoa; Chordata; Mammalia; Eulipotyphla; Erinaceidae
Gene: 7SK
Rfam family: 7SK RNA
About the family: 7SK was discovered as an abundant small nuclear RNA in the mid-70s but a possible function has only recently been suggested. Two independent studies have found that 7SK RNA binds the CDK9/cyclin T complex (known as elongation factor P-TEFb).
Source: Ensembl
GAAUUGAAAGUGUGUUAUGACAGCUGGCACGUGGUUGAUGCUGGGUUUGACUGGGCUGGUCUGACCAGUACAGCGGGAAUCACUCUUUCCUGUCUCCAUGCUCCCUGCAUGUUCUGUCGGGGGCUAGAGGAGUCUCGUCCUGGGUCAGGGGGGUACAAGUAGCUGCACUUCCCUGCUAGAUCCUCAGUGAACUCUCCAGAUCCAUUUGUAAGAAGAUGUAGGCAGUCGAGCCUCCAGACACUUCCAGAAGAGGCACUGCUUACGGCAGCCUGCCUUUUGCU